Solanum stenotomum is the source of this 227-nucleotide long non-coding RNA. RefSeq lists it as uncharacterized. The record is from RefSeq and is a predicted model, not a curated record. The transcript has 3 exons. NCBI's taxonomy places the organism in Eukaryota, Viridiplantae, Streptophyta, Magnoliopsida, Solanales, Solanaceae.
CUCAGAAACGCGAGGGGAGGCUUCGUUUGAGUGGGGAAGCAUUUGGAGACCGUUCGGAGGGGAAAAGCUCUGGUACCGUGAGUUGGAGCACGCGUGAUCGGCUUUCAGGUUCGGGCACUAGUAGCCAGCGUUGAUCGAGCUUGGAGCAGACUGAUCCGGAGACGGGGGUGAGCACACGGCGUUUUGUACUAUUUCAGUCUCCACCUGUACAUAUAGACUUGUCUUUU